RNAcentral lists this ribosomal RNA (468 nucleotides) under uncultured bacterium. Its description in RNAcentral is "partial 16S ribosomal RNA". It matches the Rfam family "Bacterial small subunit ribosomal RNA", at positions 28 to 507 of the family's 1533-position model. The record is from RNAcentral.
GACGAACGCUGGCGGCGUGCUUAACACAUGCAAGUCGAACGGAAAGGCCCUGCUCUUGUGGGGUGCUCGAGUGGCGAACGGGUGAGUAACACGUGAGUAAACUGCCCUUGACUUUGGGAUAACUUCAGGAAACUGGGGCUAAUACCGGAUAGGAGCUCCUGCUGCAUGGUGGGGGUCGGAAAGUUUCGGCCGUUGGGGAUCGACUCGCGGCUUAUCAGCUUGUUGGUGGAGUAGUGGCUUACCAAGGCUUUGACGGGUAGCCGGCCUGAGAGGGUGACCGGCCACAUGAGGACUGAGAUACGGCCCAGUCUCCAACGGGAGGCAGCAGGGGGGAAUAUUGCACAAUGGGCGGAAGCCUGAGGCGGCAACGCCGCGUGCGGGAUGACGGCCUACGGGUUGUAAACCGCUUUCGCCGGUGACGAAGCGUGAGUGACGGUAAUGAGUAAAGAAGCACCGGCUAACUACGUG